Molecule: long non-coding RNA, 570 nt
Organism: Tarenaya hassleriana
Lineage: Eukaryota; Viridiplantae; Streptophyta; Magnoliopsida; Brassicales; Cleomaceae
Exons: 2
Source: RefSeq, a predicted model, not a curated record
UUCUUCGUCUGCUUCUGCUUCCUCAGGCGACGCCGUCGUGAACUCGUCUCUGUAUCCUCCGUCUCCGUCUCCGUCGCCGUCGGAUCUCCGGUGGUCUCGCAAACUGGGCUUUCCGGCGAAUCGACAGUGGAGGAUGUUGGUAAAAGGGUUCUGCCUUUGAGAUUCGGUCGCUCUUCACCGCCUCGAUGGUGGCCUUACGCUUGUCAGUCUCAGAGACCAUGCAGGGAUUAUCCAGAAUUGGUGGAGGAAGUUUGAGUAUUUAUAAGAGAGAGGUCCAAGAAAAGGCCUUGGAGAUCAUUGGAAUUUCACCAGGAGAUGUCAGAAACGGUGUUCCGGCUGGAAAUUACAGAGAAAUUACCGAUUUUGUAUUUGAUUGGUUAAGGAUGUUAAACCAUUAUUAAUAACUGUUCAGAUCUUCUGGAACCAGAAGAUGCUGAUAACAUGGUAUUCAAUUUCAAUUCAACAACUGGGUGUUGGUAUCUGACGUAUUAUUGUUCAGAUAUUUGUGAAGAAGAUCUACAAUGAUAUCAUAUCAAAAGAUGAAAUAAAAAAACGAACAUAUUCUUGAUU